Molecule: unclassified non-coding RNA, 1891 nt
Filed under: Sitophilus oryzae (rice weevil)
Lineage: Eukaryota; Metazoa; Arthropoda; Insecta; Coleoptera; Curculionidae
Description: uncharacterized LOC115880667, transcript variant X1
Source: RNAcentral
AUACCCUAACUGCCUGAACAAAAACAAAUUCUGAUGUUUACAUAGUGUCAGGCGGGUCUUAUCAAUUUUUUUAAAAUACAUUUUUCAAAUACUUUAUAGAUUCCGGUAUGUAAUUUUUUAAUACUCAAUUAAAUAUUAUUAUGGGUUUUAUAAAAAUGUGUAUAUGGAUGAUCAAGAAAAAGUUUUAUGUGCUGGUUAUUUUUGGAAUAACACUUUGCACUUUAUUCUUUUGGUUUCAUUACUCGCUAAUAAAUGAUAUUGAUCGAAAAGCGCGACUAGAAAAAAUUAAUUUGUUUAUAAAAAAAGAGGCUAGUAAUAUAUCUUGUAAAAAACCAAUUUUACCGGUUUAUGCUCCUGAAAUAAUGAAAUUUAUAAAAAACGUUGCUCCAAUUGAUUGCACAAAAUCUGGAAUAGAUUGGGUCAAGUGUCAUGGUUCUGAAUGUGUUAUACGGGAACAAGCCAAAAUUAAAUACGGCCCCAUUAAAUGCUCAUUUACUGAUAUAAUUCGCGUCAAUGAUUUUAAAUUAAUUGACGGUGAAACAUUCUACUCCAGUGAAUAUUAUAAAUUAGAGCAAAGUGAUGUGGUAAAAGUUUCGUGUAAAUCUGCAGACUAUAAGUGGUCUGCAAUUUUAACAGGUAUCAGAAUAGAUAACAAUAUUUGGGACAAAGCCAACUGGGAGGAAAUGUCCAGUAGUUCCUUAAAAAUGAACGUUUUACUGUUUGGUUUUGAUUCGAUUUCUCGAAACUCAUUUAUAAGAAAACUUCCGAAAAGCUACGAUUACUUAGUUAAUGUUCUGGAUGCUAUUGUCCUUCAAGGAUACAACGUAGUGGGCGAUGGAACUCCGCAGGCUCUAAUUCCUAUGCUAACAGGAAAAACUGAACUUGAACUUCCAGACACUAGGAAACGAUUAGAAGGCACCCAUAAUGUAGACGUUUAUCCGUUUAUAUGGAAAGAUUACAAAAACGUCGGCUAUGUAACGGCUUUCUUCGAAGAUCUACCCGAUCAAGGCACUUUUACUUACAGAUUGAAUGGAUUUGAGGAGGCUCCAGCAGAUCACUACAUGAGACCAUAUUUUAUGGCGUCGGCGAAACAGAAUGGUUGGCCAAAAUACUGUGCUGGAGAAACGCCAAACCAUAAAGUUAUGUUCAAUAUGGUUAGAGAUUUUUUUAGUGUAUAUCAGUCAAAACCGAAAUUUCUUUUCGGAUUCCAUGGAGAGCUAUCCCAUGACGACUACAAUCUAAUUGGGGUAGCUGACCAAGAUUUAGCUGCUCUGCUAGGAGAAAUGAACGAAUCAGGUGCUCUGAAUAACACAGUUUUAGUUAUCAUGGCUGAUCAUGGUCAUAGGUUAUACAGAGAAACCACUAGGGUUGUUCAAAAUUGUGUCAAAAUUCAGAUUUGCAGAUGUUAGAAACACAAUACAAGGGAAACAAGAAGAGAGAUUACCAUUUUUUUCCUUUACAUUUCCACCUUGGUUUAAAAAAAACUACCCGCAUCUUUACAAGAAUUUUAAACUCAACGAGGACAAACUGGUUACGCCUUUUGAUAUUUAUGAGACCUUAAAGGAUAUUAUAGACCUGAAACAUACUGGCGUUGCUGAUAUUAACCAGAGAGCUGUUUCAUUAUUUUCGAAAAUACCUGAAGAGAGAUCAUGUGCUCAUGCUUACAUAGAACCCCAUUGGUGUGCCUGUUUAGACUGGAAACAUAUAGAUUUAUCAAAUCCUAUUGUUCAUAGACUAGGAGAAGUAUUAGUUCAUACGAUAAACAAUUUUACUAAUGUGCAUAGAGAUAUAUGUGAAAAACUUUCCUUGUCUAAUAUUAUUUGGGCUAUGAAGUUGGCGCCUAACGAAAUGUUACUGAAAUUCAGUAGAAAUGCUGAUAUUGAUGGGUUUG